UCGGAUAGGUAGGAAUACCCG
This 21-nucleotide ribosomal RNA is filed under the name Sarocladium kiliense. Its description in RNAcentral is "partial 28S ribosomal RNA". Lineage: Eukaryota; Fungi; Ascomycota; Sordariomycetes; Hypocreales; Sarocladiaceae. The record is from RNAcentral.